GCUUCAGGGCGGGGUGAGAUUCCCCACCGGUGGUAAUUUCAGGGUAGUAAAUCUUUCUAUUUCUGAAUCAGCCCACGAGCGGUCAAUUUCAAUUGAUCUGCAGAUCUGGUGUAAAUCCAGAGCCGACGGUAUAGUCCGGAUGAAAGAAGACG
This 152-nucleotide non-coding RNA is filed under the name Acinetobacter variabilis. RNAcentral's name for it is "FMN riboswitch aptamer (RFN element)". It matches the Rfam family "FMN riboswitch aptamer (RFN element)". Rfam says of the family: The RFN element is a highly conserved domain that is found frequently in the 5'-untranslated regions of prokaryotic mRNAs that encode for flavin mononucleotide (FMN) biosynthesis and transport proteins. The record is from RNAcentral. Lineage: Bacteria; Pseudomonadati; Pseudomonadota; Gammaproteobacteria; Moraxellales; Moraxellaceae.